GCAGGCUACAGACCAGUGAAUGUCCCCUCUUCCAGAGUCAAUGAUGGCAUCUGUGACUGCUGUGAUGCUACAGAUGAGUACACCAGUGGUACUGUUUGUGCAAAUACAUGCAAGGAGCUGGGGAAGAAGGAGCGAGAGACUUUGAAGCAGCUAGCCAAGGUGGUGAAGGCUGGGCUCCUGAUAAAAGAGCAGCUGAUCGAGAAGGCAAGGAAGACCAGAGGCGAUGAAGAGAAAGCUGGAGAAGCUCCAGGAAUCCCAAAGAGCCUUGGAGAGUGAGGCGGAGGCGAGGCGCAGGACCAAGGAGGAGGCUGAGGCUCUGGGGCAGGAGGCCAA
This is a long non-coding RNA of Acipenser ruthenus (sterlet), 333 nucleotides long. RefSeq lists it as uncharacterized. The transcript is spliced from 4 exons. The record is from RefSeq and is a predicted model, not a curated record. NCBI's taxonomy places the organism in Eukaryota, Metazoa, Chordata, Actinopteri, Acipenseriformes, Acipenseridae.